GCCUAGCUGAUGAGUCCCAAUUAGGACGAAACGUGUGUCCUAGAU
Schistosoma curassoni is the source of this 45-nucleotide non-coding RNA. NCBI's taxonomy places the organism in Eukaryota, Metazoa, Platyhelminthes, Trematoda, Strigeidida, Schistosomatidae. The record is from Rfam.